UCGGCGCACCCAGAAACCCUUUGUGAACUUAUACCUAUUUGUUGCCUCGGCGUAGGCCGGCCUCUUCACUGAGGCCCCCUGGAAACAGGGAGCAGCCCGCCGGCGGCCAACUAAACUCUUGUUUCUAUAGUGAAUCUCUGAGUAAAAACAUAAAUGAAUCAAAACUUUCAACAACGGAUCUCUUGGUUCUGGCAUCGAUGAAGAACGCAGCGAAAUGCGAUAAGUAAUGUGAAUUGCAGAAUUCAGUGAAUCAUCGAAUCUUUGAACGCACAUUGCGCCCUCUGGUAUUCCGGAGGGCAUGCCUGUUCGAGCGUCAUUUCAACCCUCAAGCCUGGCUUGGUGAUGGGGCACUGCCUUCUAACGAGGGCAGGCCCUGAAAUCUAGUGGCGAGCUCGCUAGGACCCCGAGCGUAGUAGUUAUAUCUCGUUCUGGAAGGCCCUGGCGGUGCCCUGCCGUUAAACCCCCAACUUCUGAAAAUUUGACCUCGGAUCAGGUAGGAAUACCCGCUGAACUUAAAAAUAUCAAUAAGCGGAGG
Molecule: ribosomal RNA, 535 nt
Filed under: Diaporthe sp. 8S
Lineage: Eukaryota; Fungi; Ascomycota; Sordariomycetes; Diaporthales; Diaporthaceae
Description: eukaryotic LSU rRNA
Rfam family: 5.8S ribosomal RNA (bases 163-316)
Source: RNAcentral